RNAcentral lists this ribosomal RNA (311 nucleotides) under uncultured eukaryote. RNAcentral's name for it is "partial 18S ribosomal RNA". It matches the Rfam family "Eukaryotic small subunit ribosomal RNA", at positions 1470 to 1796 of the family's 1831-position model. The record is from RNAcentral.
CCCCUAGACGUUCUGGGCUGCACGCGCGCUACAAUAAUACGCACAGCGAGUAUCACCGAGCUCGAAAGGGCAAGGUAAACAAUAGAAAAGGUACUGUAAUGGUUAUAGAUCCUUGUAAUUAUUGAUCUUCAACGAGGAAUUCCUAGUAAGUAUGUGUCAUCAUCACGCACUGAUUACGUCCCUGCCCUUUGUACACACCGCCCGUCGCUCCUACCGAUUGAGUGAGCCGAUGAAACUGCCGGAUGUGGACUAUUCAUAGUCUGCAGAAGAUAUUUGAAUCGUAGCGCUUAGAGGAAGGGGAAGUCGUAACA